CGCAGCCGCGGUAAUUCCAGCUCCAAUAGCGUAUAUUAAAGUUGUUGCAGUUAAAAAGCUCGUAGUUGAAUUUCGGGAUCAAUAUUUCGGUCAUGCCGUUGGUAUGCACUGUUAUCAUUGAUUUCUCACCUUCUAAAGAACCGUAAUGCCAUUAAUUUGGUGUUACGGGGAAUUAGGACUGUUACCUUGAAAAAAUUAGAGUGUUUAAAGCAGGCUCACGCUUGAAUACAUUAGCAUGGAAUAAUGAAAUAGGACAUCCGAUUCUAUUUUGUUGGUUUCUAGGAUCGAUGUAAUGAUUAAUAGGGAUAGUUGGGGGCAUUAGUAUUCAAUUGUCAGAGGUGAAAAUUCUUGGAUUUACUGAAGACUAAACUACUGCGAAAGCAAUUUGCCAAGGAUGUUUUCAUUAAUCAAGAACGAAAGUUAGGGGAUCGAGGACGAUCAGAUACCGUC
RNAcentral lists this ribosomal RNA (450 nucleotides) under uncultured Glomeromycotina. RNAcentral describes it as "SSU rRNA". It matches the Rfam family "Eukaryotic small subunit ribosomal RNA", at positions 569 to 1019 of the family's 1831-position model. The record is from RNAcentral. Lineage: Eukaryota; Fungi; Glomeromycota.